UAUAUAUUUCUUUUUGACGUGGCCUUAACAAAAUUUAAUUCAGAAGGCAGCCAUGCCUUUGUGCUUAACCACACAUCAGUUUAAAAGCGUGGGGGCUCAUUGUGUUCACGGCUCAGAUUUCGGAACCGUGGGAAAACAGAGGCGACCGUUGUACGGAUGCUUUGAUCGAGUGUGUGGGGCUGCACGCUAAGUGUUUGUAGAAAUUCCUGAACGACUGUUGUCUUCUGGAUUGCAAGAGUAUUUAUUUCGCUAGGCGAUGAAGGAACUUGAGGCCAACUUGAGAUUGCUAGAAGAGGCUACUGCAGGAAUUAGAAAAAGAAAAAAGCUUUGUUUUCCUUCAUAAGAUUCUAAUGAGAAUUCAUCUUGUGCAAGGAGAGAUUAUUCUGUGUGAACACUGGACGCAGCUCUACAUUCGGAGGCGAAUCAGGUGCAACCACGUCAGCAAUACCAGGCCGCAGUACCGAGCGAAGGGAUGACAUGGCGCAUUCUGAUUGGUUUCCGGACGACAGUUGACGUCCGCACAAAAUAACUUUUCUUGUGCCAGAGCUCAUUUGGCUGCUUGAAUUAAAAAAGAAAAAAAAAUAUUUUUUUAAUAAAAGUAUAAAUCUAUUAGAUUCCAUCAUUUAUUUGGAUGUGGUUAGAAAUCAACUUGGUUUUUAGACUCUACAAACACCUUCAUUAUCACUCAAUAAGACUUUUUUUUUACACUCAAUAUUGAGUGAAGAUAUGCCAUCAUUUUCUUGAAAAUAGAUUUUAUAACUGCAAGCUACCAUAGGGGGCCUAUGCAGAAUCUAUGAACUCUUGCUUUGUAUUCCUUGUGUAUACAUAGAGAUGCUUUUUUUGCCACUUUUUCUGACCAUUUAUUGAUCUAUAAAUUCUUAUGACUUUGAAAAA
Molecule: long non-coding RNA, 894 nt
Organism: Dendrobium catenatum
Lineage: Eukaryota; Viridiplantae; Streptophyta; Magnoliopsida; Asparagales; Orchidaceae
Exons: 2
Source: RefSeq, a predicted model, not a curated record